This 426-nucleotide ribosomal RNA is filed under the name uncultured bacterium. RNAcentral's name for it is "bacterial SSU rRNA". It matches the Rfam family "Bacterial small subunit ribosomal RNA", at positions 354 to 796 of the family's 1533-position model. The record is from RNAcentral.
GCAAGGAAUAUUGCGCAAUGGGCGAAAGCCUGACGCAGCGACGCCGCGUGAGGGAAGAAGGCCUUCGGGUCGUAAACCUCUUUUCUCAGGGAAGAAUAAUGACGGUACCUGAGGAAUAAGUCACGGCUAACUACGUGCCAGCAGCCGCGGUAAUACGUAGGCGGCGAGCGUUAUCCGGAUUUACUGGGCGUAAAGAGGGCGUAGGUGGCUUGAUAAGUCGGAUAUGAAAUCUCCCAGCUUAACUGGGAGGGGAUGUUCGAUACUGUCAGGCUAGAGGGCAGUAGAGGGAGACGGAAUUCCCGGUGUAGUGGUGAAAUGCGUAGAUACCGGGAGGAACACCAGUGGCGAAGGCGGUCUCCUGGACUGUUCCUGACACUCUGGCCCGAAAGCGUGGGGAGCGAACAGGAUUAGAAACCCGAGUAGUCC